CUGUGCUUCUUUGUCUACAAU
RNAcentral lists this microRNA (21 nucleotides) under Camelina sativa (false flax). RNAcentral's name for it is "cas-miR158a". Its record names the gene cas-miR158a. The record is from miRBase by way of RNAcentral. Lineage: Eukaryota; Viridiplantae; Streptophyta; Magnoliopsida; Brassicales; Brassicaceae.